Molecule: ribosomal RNA, 1368 nt
Filed under: uncultured organism
Description: 16S ribosomal RNA
Rfam family: Bacterial small subunit ribosomal RNA
Source: RNAcentral
GCUUGCUUUGAUGGAUGGCGACCGGCGCACGGGUGAGUAACACCUAUCCAACCUGCCGACAACACUGGGAUAGCCUUUCAAAACAAAGAUUAAUACCGGAUGGGAUAGUUUUCCCCCAAGGCAUAAUUAAUAAAAAAUUUCGGUUGUCGAUGGGGAUGCAUUCCAUUAGGCACUUGGCGCGGUAACCCCCCACCAAACCUACGAUGGAUACGGGUUCUGAGAGGAAGGUCCCCCACAUUGGGACUGACACACCGUCCAAACUCCUACGGGAGGCAUCACUGAGGAAUAUUGGUCAAUGGACGAGAGUCUGAACCAACCAAGUAGCGUGAAGGAUGACUGCCCUAUGGGUUGUAAACUUCUUUUAUACCGAAAUAAAGUUAGCCACGUGUGGUUUUUUUGUACGUACCGAAUGAAUAACGAUCGGCUAACUCCGUGCCAGCAGCCGCGGUAAUACGGACGAUCCGAGCGUUAUCCGGAUUUAUUGCCUUUAAAGGGAGCGUACGCCGGUUGUUAAGUCAAUUGUGAAAGUUUGGGGCUCAACAGUAAAAUUGCAGUUGAUUCUGGCGACCUUGAGUGCAACAGAGGUAGGCGGAAUUUGUGGUGUAGCGGUGAAAUGCUUAGAUAUCACGAAGAACUCCGGAUUGCGAAGGCAGCUUACUGGAUUUGUAACUGCCGCUGAUGCUCGAAAGUGUGGGUAUCAAACAGGAUUAGAUACCGUGGUAGUCCACACAGUAAACGAUGAAUACUCGUUGUUGGCGAUAUACAGUCAGCGGCCAAGCGAAAGCAUUAAGUAUUCCACCUGGGGAGUACGCCGGCAACGGUGAAACUCAAAGGAAUUGUCGGGGGUCCGCACAAGCGGAGGAACAUGUGGUUUAAUUCGAUGAUACGCGAGGAACCUUACCCGGGCUUAAAUUGCAACUGACGGAACCGGAAACGGUUCUUUCUUCGGACAGUUGUGAAGGUGCUGCAUGGUUGUCGUCAGCUCGUGCCGUGAGGUGUCGGCUUAAGUGCCAUAACGAGCGCAACCCUUACGGGUAGUUACCAUCAGGUUAUGAUGGGGACUCUACCCGGACUGCCGUAGUAAGAUGUGAGGAAGGUGGGGAUGACGUCAAAUCAGCAUGUCCGUUACGUCCGGGGUUACACACGUGUUACAAUGGGGGGUACAGAAGGCAGCUACACGGCGACGUGGUGCUAAUCCCAAAAGCCUCUCUCAGUUCGGAUUGGAGUCUGCAACCCGACUCCACGAAGCUGGAUUAUGUUAGUAAUCGAGCAUCAGCCACGGCGCGGUGAAUACGUUCCCGGGCCUUGUACACACCGCCCGUCAAGCCAUGAAACCCGGGGGUACUAGAAGUACGUAACCGCGAGGAG